UACGGGGGGGGCAAGCGUUGUUCGGAAUUACUGGGCGUAAAGGGCUCGUAGGCGGCCAACUAAGUCAGACGUGAAAUCCCUCGGCUUAACCGGGGAACUGCGUCUGAUACUGGAUGGCUCGAGAUUGGGAGAGGGAUGCGGAAUUCCAGGUGUAGCGGUGAAAUGCUUAGAUAUGAUGUAGAACACCAAUUGCGAAGGCAGCUCACUAAACAGACAUUGACGCUGAGGCACGAAAGCGUGGGGAUCAAACAGG
RNAcentral lists this ribosomal RNA (253 nucleotides) under uncultured bacterium. RNAcentral's name for it is "partial 16S ribosomal RNA". It matches the Rfam family "Bacterial small subunit ribosomal RNA", at positions 524 to 776 of the family's 1533-position model. The record is from RNAcentral.